Larimichthys crocea (large yellow croaker) is the source of this 1600-nucleotide long non-coding RNA. RefSeq lists it as uncharacterized. The transcript is spliced from 3 exons. The record is from RefSeq and is a predicted model, not a curated record. NCBI's taxonomy places the organism in Eukaryota, Metazoa, Chordata, Actinopteri, Sciaenidae.
UUAUGGAGACUGACUCACUUCUGGAGCCAGCCUCAGGUGGACGUUAGAGGAACUGCAGUUUUUGUCGCAUUGGCUUCACUUCACAGAGACGCUUGGUGUACACUAAAUAGUGCACCUGUGAAACGUCUUAAACCUGCAUUAUGUCUAGUGUCCAGCAGGGGGCGACUCCAUUGGUUGCAAAGAGAAGUCUGGUUGUUUUGAGUCUUAUGGGGAAAUAAGUGGCCUUUUAGCUGAUUUAUGACCCCAGUAAACAGUUUCUUCAUGAGUUCAUGGUCUCAGUCUUUAGUUUUAAGUCUUCUUCCACACGGCACGAUGUUCGUUCAGUAAACGAUGGUCCCAUUUGGAGUAAAAUAGACGAUACAGCAGGGUUCAGAUUCUGUUCCUGCAUCGACUUUCUCUCCUCAGAUGUUUCACAACUGAUUUCAGUUUCUGUUUAGCUGGAAUACAAGAAUGUCUGUGACCAGGCUGGACCUCCAGGACGAGUUAAAAAACCAAGUGAGGUCCCCGCUCGCAGUGCGUCACCCACCAGCUCCACACGCUCUCGUCAAAAUAUGAUCACGUCUGGCUCCAAAAACAAGAUGGCGACGUCCCAAGUGCCUCAACUCGAGGCUUCAAACGGUUAUCCACAAAACCAACGAGUGACGUCACGGCGGGUUUGCACUUGCAGAAUAAUGGCAAAAACAAAUAGCAACCAGUCAGCACUGACAUAAAUAUACAAACAUCAUCUUGAUCUCUAACCUUAAAUUAAAACCACAGAGUGAAAAAGAACAAAAACAAAAACAUUAUGGCAACAUUAUUACGACAAAAUCUGUCAAGAUCUGUCUGGAUUCACUGAGAAGAGAUAUUAUUUAAACACCAUGAAAAAGAAAAUUGGUACUUGUCACUGUGUCAUCGACAUCUUUAUACUUUUGUUUUGUCAUUUUGGCUUUAUUGGACAGCUGACAGUGUAAACAUGAAUGGGAAACAUCGGGAGAGCAACAAAAGGUUCCUAGCUGGGGGGAUAUUUGGUAUGAGUCUCAAGAUGCAAUACCAGUUUGAACAAGCUGAUAAUAGUGUUUGUGAUUGCAGGAAAUGGGAUUAACCGACCGAAUAUCCGAAUCCACUGAAUGAUCAUCGACUUUCUCGGCACGUUACUUGAAGCUUUUCCACCAGAAAGAAUGAAGAUAAUGCUCCUGGAACGAGUGCUGUCGAGGCCGAGCAGACUCCAGAGAGGAAAACGUUAAUGUGCUUCUUGUUUUGAGGAGAGGAACGCUCCGGACUGAGUUAUCAUUUUCUGCCUGCCUUGACAUGCUGCCAUUCGGAAAACAAGAGACGUAUCCACGGCAACAGCCAAACAAUCGGCUCCACAGCCCCGGUUGCCAAUAAAGAGAAAGAGGCCAGAGAGGACAGGAAAAGACCCAACAACACCUGUUAAGACACACCUGGGGGGCUCAGCAAAUUCCUCUCAAGACCCCUCACACAUCACAACACUACAAAUUAUUUUGUUUCUGCACACGUGAGAAGCAGAUUUUUUAAACGAGGCUGGAUAAAUCACAGUUGGUUGAAGUAUAUCCACGUCAAUGAUCGUUCGUUUUAUGUCAAACACUUAAUAUAAACAAAA